RNAcentral lists this ribosomal RNA (387 nucleotides) under Treponema sp. RNAcentral's name for it is "bacterial SSU rRNA". It matches the Rfam family "Bacterial small subunit ribosomal RNA", at positions 1 to 385 of the family's 1533-position model. Lineage: Bacteria; Pseudomonadati; Spirochaetota; Spirochaetia; Treponematales; Treponemataceae. The record is from RNAcentral.
AUCAUGGAGAGUUUGAUCCUGGCUCAGAACGAACGCUGGCGGCGCGUCUUAAGCAUGCAAGUCGAGCGGCAGGGUGCAGCAAUGUACCCGAGAGCGGCGGACUGGUGAGUAACGCGUGGGUGACCUGCCCUAAGGAUGGGGAUAGCCGCUAGAAAUAGCGGGUAAUACCGAAUGUGGUUACCGGGCCGAGGCGCGGUAAAGAAAGGCGCUUUGGCGCCGCCUUAGGAUGGGCCCGCGUCCCAUUAGGUAGUUGGUGGGGUAACGGCCUACCAAGCCCGAGAUGGGUAGCCGGCCUGAGAGGGUGAACGGCCACACUGGGACUGAGAUACGGCCCAGACUCCUACGGGAGGCAGCAGCUAAGAAUAUUCCGCAAUGGACGAAAGUCUG